UACGGGGGGGAGCAAGCGUUGUUCGGAUUUACUGGGCGUAAAGGGCGCGUAGGCGGUCAGCACAAGUCAGUUGUGAAAUCUCCGGGCUUAACUCGGAAAGGUCAACUGAUACUGUGCGACUAGAGUGCGGAAGGGGCAACUGGAAUUCUCGGUGUAGCGGUGAAAUGCGUAGAUAUCGAGAGGAACACCUGCGGCGAAGGCGGGUUGCUGGGCCGACACUGACGCUGAUGCGCGAAAGCCAGGGAGCGAACGGG
Molecule: ribosomal RNA, 254 nt
Filed under: uncultured bacterium
Lineage: Bacteria
Description: partial 16S ribosomal RNA
Rfam family: Bacterial small subunit ribosomal RNA
Source: RNAcentral